AUACGUAGGUGGCAAGCGUUGUCCGGAAUUAUUGGGCGUAAAGCGCGCGCAGGCGGUUUCUUAAGUCUGAUGUGAAAGCCCCCGGCUCAACCGGGGAGGGUCAUUGGAAACUGGGAAACUUGAGUGCAGAAGAGGAGAGUGGAAUUCCACGUGUAGCGGUGAAAUGCGUAGAGAUGUGGAGGAACACCAGUGGCGAAGGCGACUCUCUGGUCUGUAACUGACGCUGAGGCGCGAAAGCGUGGGGAGCGAACAGGAUUAGAUACCCUGGUAGUCCACGCCGUAAACGAUGAGUGCUAAGUGUUAGAGGGUUUCCGCCCUUUAGUGCUGCAGCUAACGCAUUAAGCACUCCGCCUGGGGAGUACGGUCGCAAGACUGAA
Molecule: ribosomal RNA, 377 nt
Filed under: uncultured bacterium
Lineage: Bacteria
Description: bacterial SSU rRNA
Rfam family: Bacterial small subunit ribosomal RNA
Source: RNAcentral